Long non-coding RNA from Dalotia coriaria, 576 nucleotides. RefSeq lists it as uncharacterized. NCBI's taxonomy places the organism in Eukaryota, Metazoa, Arthropoda, Insecta, Coleoptera, Staphylinidae. The transcript is spliced from 3 exons. The record is from RefSeq and is a predicted model, not a curated record.
CGGAGAAUUGUGCAAAACGCGAGAUUUGUUCGCAAUGAUAAUAACUUAAUAAACACUAUAAAUUGCAGGUGCAUUUAUGUAAUGCGGCGUGAGCGUUGCGAUGCAUAUGAGCACGAUGAUUGUGUAAUAGUGAUCACCCUCGCGUGAUCACCCAUACACGGGUUGACUAUAAAUUAUCCACCUCGAAUCGGACAUUGUGACACUUGCAUCGCCAUCGGCAUCUUAUUACCUUGUAUAACUCAACGCUGCACGCAGGAAAGGCAAUAGAUUUCGAAUUAAUGACGGAAAAUUGUCCAAACUAGCGUAGUUAAGCUCGUCUCUGCUUUACCCUUAUACUCGUGGCCCUUUCUGUCGUCGAGGGUGCGUUGUGGUGGUCGUUGGUCAAGCGCCUUAACUCCUCCAAUCGUUAAGUAAAGACGACGACGACGGCGACGAUGUGGUGGCCAAGAGGAAACUUGUAACACGGUGUUGGGCAAACUUGCGACAAGAAACUUAAAUUGGGCGACGCGCCGCAAGACCUUUGACGACAUAAUUAAAGUUGAUAUUCGAUGCUAAUCAAUCGGCACUGGCCACCAA